Molecule: ribosomal RNA, 460 nt
Filed under: uncultured bacterium
Lineage: Bacteria
Description: partial 16S ribosomal RNA
Rfam family: Bacterial small subunit ribosomal RNA
Source: RNAcentral
CCUACGGGCGGCAGCAGUGAGGAAUAUUGGUCAAUGGACGAGAGUCUGAACCAGCCAAGUAGCGUGAAGGAUGACUGCCCUAUGGGUUGUCAACUUCUUUUAUAAAGGAAUAAAACGAGGCACGUGUGCCUUUUUGCAUGUACUUUAUGAAUAAGGAUCGGCUAACUCCGUGCCAGCAGCCGCGGUAAUACGGAGGAUCCGAGCGUUAUCCGGAUGUAUUGGGUUUAAAGGGAGCGUAGAUGGGUUGUUAAGUCAGUUGUGAAAGUUUGCGGCUCAACCGUAAAAUUGCAAUUGAUACUGGCAGUCUUGAGUACAGUUGAGGUAGGCGGAAUUCGUGGUGUAGCGGUGAAAUGCUUAGAUAUCACGAAGAACCCCGAUUGCGAAGGCAGCUUACUAAACUGUGACUGACAUUGAUGCUCGAAAGUGUGGGUAUCAAACAGGAUUAGAUACCCUUGUAGUC